AAAUCAGUAGUCACCAUAAAGAGUUUGCUUGUAGAGGCUGGAGAGGGAGUUUCAGAACCUUUGAUAUGACCACCAGAGGAAGGUCCUACAACUAUACAAGACUUGGCAAAAGAGCUCCAUGCUGCUGAUAGAUUUGUCUCAUGGCAAGUUCUCAAGCUUUCCUCACAUUGAAGAAAUGCCAUCAGCUGGCGGUAACCUGUGUAACGGGAAAGCAGAAAAGCUGCAGCAGGUAUCAUGGAACAGAGAGCCUGGACAAGCACAGCGGUGGGGCAGAUGGACCUCACUUAGCUUUUACAGGCAUGGGGACAGGACUGCCAAUAGGGUGGACAUGGCAGUAACUACCUGAGGCUACAAUCAGCAGCCACUGUUUGGACAGUUGUCACAACAAGUUUUGUGGCAGUAAGUGCAUUGAGUUGGUCAGGCAGCACUUUACU
Long non-coding RNA from Corapipo altera (White-ruffed manakin), 434 nucleotides. RefSeq lists it as uncharacterized. The transcript has 3 exons. The record is from RefSeq and is a predicted model, not a curated record. Lineage: Eukaryota; Metazoa; Chordata; Aves; Passeriformes; Pipridae.